UACAGAGGUCUCAAGCGUUGUUCGGAUUCAUUGGGCGUAAAGGGUGCGUAGGCGGCGCGGUAAGUCGGGUGUGAAAUCUUGGAGCUUAACUCCGAAACUGCAUUCGAUACUGCCGUGCUUGAGGACUGGAGAGGAGACUGGAAUUUACGGUGUAGCGGUGAAAUGCGCAGAUAUCAGGAAGAACACCCGUGGCGAAAGCGGCUCUCUGGAACGGUACUGACGCUGAGACGCGAAAGCGUGGGGAGCGAACAGG
RNAcentral lists this ribosomal RNA (253 nucleotides) under uncultured bacterium. RNAcentral describes it as "partial 16S ribosomal RNA". It matches the Rfam family "Bacterial small subunit ribosomal RNA", at positions 524 to 776 of the family's 1533-position model. The record is from RNAcentral.